GAAAGUAAGCAAGGGCGCAUGGAGGAUGCCUAGGCUCUCGAAGGCGAAGAAGGACGUGAUAAGCUGCGAAAAGCUACGGUAAGGAGCAAAUAUCCGCUGACCCGUAGAUCUCCGAAUGGGGCAACCCGUCGUCGGAAGGCGACACACUGCAAAGCAGUGGGCAAACGUGGGGAACUGAAACAUCUCAUUACCCACAGGAAAAGAAAAUAACAAUGAUUCCGCCAGUAGUGGCGAGCGAACGCGGAAUAGCCCAAACCGUUCCUGUUUCGGCAGGAUCGGGGUAGAAGGACCGCCAAUAAAGGCAAGAGCGGAGGAAGUCGAACCAAUUGGAAAGUUGGAUCAAAGAAGGUGACAAUCCCGUAGACGAAUCCGAAGCGAAGCCGAGGCGGCACCUGAGUAGUGCGGGACACGAGAAAUCCUGUAUGAAUCCGCGGGGACCAUCCCGUAAGGCUAAAUACUCCCGAGAGACCGAUAGCGAACCAGUACUGUGAAGGAAAGGUGAAAAGAACCUCGAACAGAGGAGUGAAACAGACCCUGAAACCAUGCGCCUACAAGCGGUCGGAGCUUUUAUAAGGAGUGACGGCGUGCCUUUUGCAUAAUGAACCUACGAGUUACUCUUGCCGGCGAGGCUAAGGGCUUCAGGCCCGGAGCCGAAGCGAAAGCGAGUCUGAACAGGGCGCGAUAGUCGGCAGGAGUAGACGCGAAACCAAGUGAUCUACCCAUGAGCAGGUUGAAGGUUGGGUAACACCAACUGGAGGACCGCACCGGUAAACGUUGAAAAGUUUUCGGAUGACUUGUGGGUAGGGGUGAAAGGCUAAUCAAACUUGGAGAUAGCUCGUACUCCCCGAAAUGCAUUUAGGUGCAGCCUUCGGGGCUGAGUUGAAGAGGUAGAGCGACUGAUAAGAUGCGAGGGCUUCACCGCCUAUCAAGUCUUGAUAAACUCCGAAUGCUUCAACUUUUACCCGAGGAGUGAGGGCAUGGGUGCUAAGGUCCAUGUCCGAGAGGGAAAUAACCCAGACCAUCAGCUAAGGUCCCGAAAUAAUAGCUAAGUUGAAUUAACGAAGUAGAAUUGCAAAGACAGCUAGGAUGUUGGCUUGGAAGCAGCCAUUCAUUUAAAGAGUGCGUAACAGCUCACUAGUCGAGGAAUUCUGCGUGGAUAAUAAUCGGGCAUAAGCUAUUUACCGAAGCUAUGGAAUAUGCAAAUAUUGGUAGGGGAGCAUUCCACGGGUCGCAGAAGGCCUGUCUCGAGACAGGCUGGAGACAGUGGAAAAGCAAAUGUAGGUAUAAGUAACGAUAAAGGAGGCGAGAAACCUCCUCGCCGCAAGACCAAGGGUUCCUGAUCAACGCUAAUCGGAUCAGGGUAAGUCGGGCCCUAAGGCGCAGCCGAACGGCGCAGCCGAUGGCAGAAACGGUUAAUAUUCCGUUACUGAAUGUAAGAGUGAUGCGGAGACGGAGCAGUGACACAUCCGCCUGCAGACGGAAUAGCAGGUUAAAGAGUGUAGAUAAUAUUUCGGUAGGCAAAUCCGCCGGGAUAGUCGAACUUGACAGUACCGGGCGUCCUCGGACAACCGGAUAGCGAUGGUAAUCAGACUCCCAAGAAAAUCCGCUAAACAUAUGUUACAUUCACCCGUACCCCAAACGGACACACGUGGUUGGGUAGAAUAUACCAAGGCGCUCGAGAGAUUCACGGUUAAGGAACUAGGCAAAUUGACCCUGUAACUUCGGGAAAAAGGGUCCCAACGUCAAAGUUGGGCGCAGAGAAUAGGUCCAGGCAACUGUUUAACAAAAACACAGGGCUGUGCGAAAUUGAAAGAUGAAGUAUACAGCCUGACACCUGCCCGGUGCUGGAAGGUUAAGAGGAGACGUCAUCGCAAGAGAAGCGUAGAAUUGAAGCCCCAGUAAACGGCGGCCGUAACUAUAACGGUCCUAAGGUAGCGAAAUUCCUUGUCGGGUAAGUUCC
This 1960-nucleotide ribosomal RNA is filed under the name human gut metagenome. RNAcentral describes it as "bacterial LSU rRNA". It matches the Rfam family "Bacterial large subunit ribosomal RNA", at positions 1 to 1984 of the family's 2925-position model. The record is from RNAcentral.